Molecule: long non-coding RNA, 1503 nt
Filed under: Capra hircus (goat)
Lineage: Eukaryota; Metazoa; Chordata; Mammalia; Artiodactyla; Bovidae
Description: lncRNA (ENSCHIG00000001330.1)
Source: RNAcentral
CACUGACUGAAACCGCCCCACCCUGGCCAGGCACCAUAGUAACCAUCUGCAUGAGUUGUUUUAUGACAGGAGAUCCUGAUAAAGAAUACAGAACUAAUAAGCCUCCACCAACCGGAAGAGUUCGGGAAAGGUUUAAAGGAGACACCGCCUGUACAUUGCAAGCCACGCGGCAGAGCAGUUCUCCUGGGUUUCCUUACCCUACUGCUCUCCACCCGGGGGCCCUUUCCCAAUAAAAUCUCUUGCUUUGUCAGCACAUAUGUCUCCUUGGACAAUUCAUUUCUGAGUGUUAGGCAAGAGCCCAGUUUCGGGCCCUGGAAGGGGUCCCUCUUCCUGCAACAAAUAGUGACUCUGGUGGGAUUCUUCUUCACCGAGACUGACAUCCUGACCACUCGGGGUACUCAGGGGCCAGCUUGCCUGCCAAUGGACCAGACCCAGCGGCCCAAACUGGGAUCCUUUUGUCCCUGGUCUCCUCCUGACGCAGACAACAGGCCACAGUGCCCCGACAGGAACACCCUAAGUUUGUUUCUGAAGCUUAUCUCAGUAAUCUAUCUUUGGAUGAAGAUCAGAUGCCUCAUGACCUGCAACCAGGACUGGAAAAAGACAUACUUUAAGGGACUGUCUCCAACAUGGAUGGAAAGACUUUUUUAUCAGGAGAAACUACACUACACCAGGAUGAGAAGACGACGACAUCAGAGAGAUCCCACGAGAUGAAAAGAAACAAAAUAGCAAAGAGGUGAAACAGACAGGAACAUCUCUCUCACAAAUAUAGCUCAGAGCCUGGAUGAGAGGAAAGCAGAAACAUAGGUCACAAAGGUGAUCACAACUCAAAGCACAGCAGCCCUGUGGCCCUCACUGAUGGGCCCCACGACACCGCACUCCACAGACCACGACAUGACCACAGUGCCAACAAAGCCGUGAACCUGGAGUCAGCUGUUGCUCUUCCAAUUCUAAUUUUUGCUGUUCACAAACACAGAUAGUUUAGCCUCUUGGAAUCUCAGCUUUAAUCACAAAAUGAAGAUAAUCAGCUUGCCGCUUCUUGCCACCAUGUUGAGUAUGAAAACGGUCUUCGAAAUAAAGUGUGAUCAUAUAAACAAUCAAGGAAUAUUACUUAGCUGAUAAUUAGUAUGUGUUUGCGUGCAAGUGUUAGUCACUCAGUCCUGUCCAACUCUUUGUGACCCCAUGGGCUGUAAGCUUACCAGGCUCAGGUUGCCAUUUCCUUCUCCAGGGGAUUUUCCUGACACAGAGAUUGAACCCCGCAAUGUCUCUGGCGUUGCAGGCAGGUUCUUCACCAUCUGAGCCAUCAGCGAAGCCCCUAAUAAUUAGUGUGUGGUACGCUUAGUCACUCAGUCAUGUCUGACUCUUUGUGACCCCAUGGACUGUAGCCAACCAGGCUCCUCUGUCCAUGGGGAUUCUCCAGGCAAGAAUAUUGGAGUGGGGACCUUCCCAACCCAGAUCUCCUGCAUUUCAGGCGGAUUCUUCACUGUCUGAGGCACUAGGGAAACC